This 575-nucleotide ribosomal RNA is filed under the name Pichia kluyveri. RNAcentral's name for it is "eukaryotic LSU rRNA". It matches the Rfam family "Eukaryotic large subunit ribosomal RNA", at positions 37 to 630 of the family's 3401-position model. The record is from RNAcentral. Lineage: Eukaryota; Fungi; Ascomycota; Pichiomycetes; Pichiales; Pichiaceae.
UCCAUAUCAAUAAGCGGAGGAAAAGAAACCAACAGGGAUUGCCUCAGUAGCGGCGAGUGAAGCGGCAAGAGCUCAGAUUUGAAAUCUCACCUAGUGUGCGAGUUGUAAAUUGCAGGUUGGAGUCUCGGGUUAGACGUGUGUGCAAGUCCCUUGGAACAGGGUGCCACUGAGGGUGAGAGCCCCGUAGCGUGCAUGUCGACACCUGUGAGGCCCUUCUGACGAGUCGAGUUGUUUGGGAAUGCAGCUCUAAGUGGGUGGUAAAUUCCAUCUAAGGCUAAAUAUUGGCGAGAGACCGAUAGCGAACAAGUACUGUGAAGGAAAGAUGAAAAGCACUUUGAAAAGAGAGUGAAACAGCACGUGAAAUUGUUGAAAGGGAAGGGUAUUGGGCUCGACAUGGGAUUUACGCAUCGUUGCCUCUCGUGGGCGGCGCUCUGGGUUUUUCCUGGGCCAGCAUCGGUUUUCGUUGCAGGAUAAGGACAAUUGGAAUGUGGCUCCUCGGAGUGUUAUAGCCUUUUGUAGAUGCUGCGUAUGGGGACCGAGGGCUGCGGCGGACUCGUUUCGUCUCGGAUGCUGGC